GCUGGCGGCGUGCCUAACACAUGCAAGUCGAACGAGAAAGUGGAGCAAUCCAUGAGUAAAGUGGCGACCGGGUGAGUAACACGUGACUAACCUACCUUCGAGUGGGGGAUAACCUAGGGAAACCUGGGCUAAUACCGCAUAAUAUCUUUGGAUCGGAAGAACUGGAGAUCAAAGGAGCAAUUCGCUUGAAGAGGGGGUCGCGGCUGAUUAGCUAGUUGGCGGGGUAAUGGCCCACCAAGGCUUUGAUCGGUAGCCGGCCUGAGAGGGCGCACGGCCACACUGGAACUGAAACACGGUCCAGACUCCUACGGGAGGCAGCAGUGGGGAAUUUUGCGCAAUGGGGGAAACCCUGACGCAGCAACGCCGCGUGGAGGAUGAAGUCCCUUGGGACGUAAACUCCUUUCGACCGGGACGAUUAUGACGGUACCGGUGGAAGAAGCCCCGGCUAACUUCGUGCCAGCAGCCGCGGUAAUACGAGGGGGGCAAGCGUUGUUCGGAAUUAUUGGGCGUAAAGGGCGCGUAGGCGGUGCGG
This 532-nucleotide ribosomal RNA is filed under the name uncultured soil bacterium. Its description in RNAcentral is "bacterial SSU rRNA". It matches the Rfam family "Bacterial small subunit ribosomal RNA", at positions 35 to 583 of the family's 1533-position model. The record is from RNAcentral.